Molecule: ribosomal RNA, 460 nt
Filed under: uncultured bacterium
Lineage: Bacteria
Description: partial 16S ribosomal RNA
Rfam family: Bacterial small subunit ribosomal RNA
Source: RNAcentral
CCUACGGGGCGCAGCAGUGAGGAAUAUUGGUCAAUGGGCGCGAGCCUGAACCAGCCAAGUCGCGUGAGGGAGGACGGCCCUACGGGUUGUAAACCUCUUUUGCCGGGGAGCAACGGGCGUCACGUGUGGCGCCACUGAGAGUACCCGGAGAAAAAGCAUCGGCUAACUCCGUGCCAGCAGCCGCGGUAAUACGGAUGAUGCGAGCGUUAUCCGGAUUUAUUGGGUUUAAAGGGUGCGUAGGCGGAUCGUUAAGUCAGUGGUCAAAUUGCGGGGCUCAACCCCUUCCCGCCAUUGAAACUGGCGUUCUUGAGUGGAAGAGAAGUAUGCGGAAUGCGUGGUGUAGCGGUGAAAUGCAUAGAUAUCACGCAGAACCCCGAUUGCGAAGGCAGCAUGCCGGCUUCCGACUGACGCUGAAGCACGAAAGCGUGGGGAUCGAACAGGAUUAGAUACCCCUGUAGUC